UGGUUCUGGCAUCGAUGAAGAACGCAGCGAAAUGCGAUAAGUAAUGUGAAUUGCAGAAUUCAGUGAAUCAUCGAAUCUUUGAACGCACAUUGCGCCCGCCAGUAUUCUGGCGGGCAUGCCUGUCCGAGCGUCAUUUCAACCCUCGAGCCCCCCCCGAAACGGGGGGGCCCGGCGUUGGGGAUCGGGACCCCUCACACGGGUGCCGGCCCCGAAAUACAGUGGCGGUCUCGCCGCGGCCUUCCCCUGCGCAGUAGUUUGCACAGCUCGCAACGGGAGCGCGGCGCGCCCACGUCCGUAAAACACCCAACUUUCUGAACGUUGACCUCGGAUCAGGUAGGAAUACCCGCUGA
RNAcentral lists this unclassified non-coding RNA (350 nucleotides) under uncultured fungus. RNAcentral's name for it is "partial contains 5.8S ribosomal RNA and internal transcribed spacer 2". The stretch from base 1 to 133 matches the Rfam family "5.8S ribosomal RNA", at positions 22 to 154 of the family's 154-position model. The record is from RNAcentral. Lineage: Eukaryota; Fungi.